Molecule: ribosomal RNA, 406 nt
Filed under: uncultured bacterium
Lineage: Bacteria
Description: partial 16S ribosomal RNA
Rfam family: Bacterial small subunit ribosomal RNA
Source: RNAcentral
AUUGAACGCUGGCGGCAGGCCUAACACAUGCAAGUCGAACGAGUGGCGGACGGGUGAGUAAUGUCUGGGAAACUGCCCGAUGGAGGGGGAUAAAUACUGGAAACGGUAGCUAAUACCGCAUACCAUCGGAUGUGCCCAGAUGGGAUUAGCUAGUAGGUGGGGUAACGGCUAACCUAGGCGACGAUCCCUAGCAGGUCUGAGAGGAUUACCAGCCACACUGGACCUGAGACACGGCCCAGACUCCUACGGGAGGCAGCAGUGGGGAAUAUUGCACAAUGGGCGCAAGCCUGAUGCAGCCAUGCCGCGUGUAUGAAGAAGGCCUUCGGGUUGUAAAGUACUUUCAGCGGGGAGGCGUUACCAACAGAAUAAGCACCGGCUAACUUCGUGCCAGCAGCCGCGGUAAUUC